This 493-nucleotide ribosomal RNA is filed under the name uncultured bacterium. Its description in RNAcentral is "bacterial SSU rRNA". It matches the Rfam family "Bacterial small subunit ribosomal RNA", at positions 30 to 507 of the family's 1533-position model. The record is from RNAcentral.
UGAACGCUGGCGGCGUGCCUAAUACAUGCAAGUCGAACGCACAGCGAAAGGUGCUUGCACCUUUCAAGUGAGUGGCGAACGGGUGAGUAACACGUGGACAACCUGCCUCAAGGCUGGGGAUAACAUUUGGAAACAGAUGCUAAUACCGAAUAAAACUUAGUGUCGCAUGACACAAAGUUAAAAGGCGCUUCGGCGUCACCUAGAGAUGGAUCCGCGGUGCAUUAGUUAGUUGGUGGGGUAAAGGCCUACCAAGACAAUGAUGCAUAGCCGAGUUGAGAGACUGAUCGGCCACAUUGGGACUGAGACACGGCCCAAACUCCUACGGGAGGCUGCAGUAGGGAAUCUUCCACAAUGGGCGAAAGCCUGAUGGAGCAACGCCGCGUGUGUGAUGAAGGCUUUCGGGUCGUAAGCACUGUUGUAUGGGAAGAACAGCUAGAAUAGGAAAUGAUUUAGUUUGACGGUACCAUACCAGAAAGGGACGGCUAAAUACGUG